CCUAAGAGACCUUAGAGAAGGGAUCAUUUAUAGAGGGUGGGAAAGUUCCAGAUACCUACAAGAGAUGGUGGAACACCAAAGUACUAGCAGCAGUGGGAUGCUGUCAGCACCUGUAACUGGUAGAAUUGUGUCUCUCCAAAGAAGAUACACUGAAGCCCUGACCCCAGUGCCUCACCCACUUGCUUGAGACUUUCACUGGCUCCUCACUGCUCUUAAGAUGAAGAAACCAGGGUCUGAAGAGUGAAUUGCCUGUCUUCUGGAAGCAAAUGGUAGAAGAGAGAAUUGAAGCCCAUUCUCUCAACCAGUUCACUAGAAUGAAGACCAUGUCUUUGUGUUUUGAGGAGAACCAGUCAAUUCCUGAAAGAGGUUGAAGAUCAUUUUAAUGUAAAACAAAUGUUUGAGAUCAAUAAGAAG
Non-coding RNA from Manis javanica (Malayan pangolin), 414 nucleotides. Lineage: Eukaryota; Metazoa; Chordata; Mammalia; Pholidota; Manidae. The record is from RefSeq and is a predicted model, not a curated record.